AUACGGAGGGUGCAAGCGUUAAUCGGAAUUACUGGGCGUAAAGCGCUCGUAGGCGGUUUGGUCAGUCGGAUGUGAAAGCCCCAGGCUCAACCUGGGAAUGGCAUUCGAUACUGCCUGACUAGAGUAUGGUAGAGGGAAGUGGAAUUUCCGGUGUAGCGGUGAAAUGCGUAGAUAUCGGGAGGAACACCAGUGGCGAAGGCGGCUUUCUGGACUGAAACUGACGCUGAGGUACGAAAGCGUGGGGAGCAAACAGGAUUAGAAACCCCGGUAGUCC
Molecule: ribosomal RNA, 274 nt
Filed under: uncultured bacterium
Lineage: Bacteria
Description: partial 16S ribosomal RNA
Rfam family: Bacterial small subunit ribosomal RNA
Source: RNAcentral